GGUCGUGCCUGAUAGAUCGGGAUACUCUACAUUAACAAAACAAAUCGGGAUCGUUUCCCUUGCCAAUGGCGGGCCACGAUUAUCCUCCACGAGGAGAGCAGCAAUGCCGGUGGAUUACAACAGCAGGGAGCCCCCACAUCGUGUGAAACAGGAGUUUUCACCAAAUCAUCGGCACGUACCCUUUC
Molecule: small RNA, 185 nt
Rfam family: Bacteroidales-1 6S-Bacteroidales RNA suggested
Source: Rfam